GAUGAACGCUGGCGGCUUGCCUAAUACAUGCAAGUCGAGCGAACGGACGAGAAGCUUGCUUCUCUGAUGUUAGCGGCGGACGGGUGAGUAACACGUGGAUAACCUACCUAUAAGACUGGGAUAACUUCGGGAAACCGGAGCUAAUACCGGAUAAUAUUUUGAACCGCAUGGUUCAAAAGUGAAAGACGGUCUUGCUGUCACUUAUAGAUGGAUCCGCGCUGCAUUAGCUAGUUGGUAAGGUAACGGCUUACCAAGGCAACGAUGCAUAGCCGACCUGAGAGGGUGAUCGGCCACACUGGAACUGAGACACGGUCCAGACUCCUACGGGAGGCAGCAGUAGGGAAUCUUCCGCAAUGGGCGAAAGCCUGACGGAGCAACGCCGCGUGAGUGAUGAAGGUCUUCGGAUCGUAAAACUCUGUUAUUAGGGAAGAACAUAUGUGUAAGUAACUGUGCACAUCUUGACGGUACCUAAUCAGAAAGCCACGGCUAACUACGUGCCAGCAGCCGCGGUAAUACGUAGGUGGCAAGCGUUAUCCGGAAUUAUUGGGCGUAAAGCGCGCGUAGGCGGUUUUUUACGUCUGAUGUGAAAGCCCACGGCUCAACCGUGGAGGGUCAUUGGAAACUGGAAAACUUGAGUGCAGAAGAGGAAAGUGGAAUUCCAUGUGUAGCGGUGAAAUGCGCAGAGAUAUGGAGGAACACCAGUGGCGAAGGCGACUUUCUGGUCUGUAACUGACGCUGAUGUGCGAAAGCGUGGGGAUCAAACAGGAUUAGAUACCCUGGUAGUCCACGCCGUAAACGAUGAGUGCUAAGUGUUAGGGGGUUUCCGCCCCUUAGUGCUGCAGCUAACGCAUUAAGCACUCCGCCUGGGGAGUACGACCGCAAGGUUGAAACUCAAAGGAAUUGACGGGGACCCGCACAAGCGGUGGAGCAUGUGGUUUAAUUCGAAGCAACGCGAAGAACCUUACCAAAUCUUGACAUCCUUUGACAACUCUAGAGAUAGAGCUUUCCCCUUCGGGGGACAAAGUGACAGGUGGUGCAUGGUUGUCGUCAGCUCGUGUCGUGAGAUGUUGGGUUAAGUCCCGCAACGAGCGCAACCCUUAAGCUUAGUUGCCAUCAUUAAGUUGGGCACUCUAAGUUGACUGCCGGUGACAAACCGGAGGAAGGUGGGGAUGACGUCAAAUCAUCAUGCCCCUUAUGAUUUGGGCUACACACGUGCUACAAUGGACAAUACAAAGGGCAGCGAAACCGCGAGGUCAAGCAAAUCCCAUAAAGUUGUUCUCAGUUCGGAUUGUAGUCUGCAACUCGACUACAUGAAGCUGGAAUCGCUAGUAAUCGUAGAUCAGCAUGCUACGGUGAAUACGUUCCCGGGUCU
RNAcentral lists this ribosomal RNA (1372 nucleotides) under uncultured bacterium. RNAcentral's name for it is "bacterial SSU rRNA". It matches the Rfam family "Bacterial small subunit ribosomal RNA", at positions 28 to 1381 of the family's 1533-position model. The record is from RNAcentral.